This 311-nucleotide ribosomal RNA is filed under the name Limosilactobacillus mucosae. Its description in RNAcentral is "bacterial LSU rRNA". It matches the Rfam family "Bacterial large subunit ribosomal RNA", at positions 2618 to 2925 of the family's 2925-position model. Lineage: Bacteria; Bacillati; Bacillota; Bacilli; Lactobacillales; Lactobacillaceae. The record is from RNAcentral.
GUCGUGAGACAGUUCGGUCCCUAUCCGUCGCGGGCGUAGGAAAUUUGAGAGGACCUGUCCUUAGUACGAGAGGACCGGGAUGGACAUACCGCUGGUGUACCAGUUGUUCCGCCAGGAGCAUCGCUGGGUAGCUAUGUAUGGAUGAGAUAAACGCUGAAAGCAUCUAAGCGUGAAACUCGCCUCAAGAUGAGAUUUCCCAUUCCUUAUGGAAGUAAGACCCCUCAAAGAUGAUGAGGUAGAUAGGAUGGAAGUGGAAGUGCCGCGAGGCAUGGAGCGGACCAUUACUAAUCGGUCGAGGACUUAACCAAGUU